This is a long non-coding RNA of Mauremys mutica (yellowpond turtle), 430 nucleotides long. RefSeq lists it as uncharacterized. Lineage: Eukaryota; Metazoa; Chordata; Testudines; Geoemydidae. The transcript is spliced from 3 exons. The record is from RefSeq and is a predicted model, not a curated record.
CUGACUCAUAAGUGCCUUGUGUUCCUUCGGAUCACUUUUCCCUCUUACAUAGUCAUCUUGUGUGACCCUGGGUACCACUCCUUCAGUACACUCCUUCCAGUGUGUCUCUAAUGACUGGAUCCUCACAAGAGUGCCUGUCUCCAGAGCUGGUGCUAUGAUACCCCAGCACUGCAGACUUUCAAGCUCCUUGCAUAUUGGAUUAUGUAGUCCCACUGGAAUUUUCCUUUGUGUUCAGACAGCCGGAACCUGAUAUGCUCUUGGAAUCAAGGAGAGACUCAUGAUGUCAUCACCACUGUCUGCUGUGUCAUCUCCCUCUUGCACAAGUCUAACUGAAUCUUUCUGAGACCUUUUUCUGAUCCUGCAUGCAAUGCUGUCCUAGUGUGGGGCACUUCUCCUUUACCCACUCAUGCUGUCUCCCACAAUAAAUGCA